GCUUGUUCUCGGGGCGGGGUGAAACUCCCCACCGGCGGUAUGAAGCGAAAGUUUCGAGCCCGCGAGCGCCUGAAAAGAUGCCGAUUCGGCUUUGUUCAGGGUCAGCAGAUCCGGUGAGAUGCCGGAGCCGACGGUUAAAGUCCGGAUGGAAGAGAGCGAAU
This 161-nucleotide non-coding RNA is filed under the name Brucella anthropi. Its description in RNAcentral is "Ochrobactrum anthropi FMN sequence". It matches the Rfam family "FMN riboswitch aptamer (RFN element)". From Rfam's summary of the family: The RFN element is a highly conserved domain that is found frequently in the 5'-untranslated regions of prokaryotic mRNAs that encode for flavin mononucleotide (FMN) biosynthesis and transport proteins. This element is a metabolite-dependent riboswitch that directly binds FMN in the absence of proteins. Lineage: Bacteria; Pseudomonadati; Pseudomonadota; Alphaproteobacteria; Hyphomicrobiales; Brucellaceae. The record is from RNAcentral. RNAcentral also lists the same sequence under 1 other name.